GUGAGGAAUAUUGCGCAAUGGGGGCAACCCUGACGCAGCAACGCCGCGUGAGUGAUGAAGGCCUUUGGGUCGUAAAACUCUGUCCUUGGGGAAGAAAAAAAUGACGGUACCCUUGGAGGAAGCCCCGGCUAACUACGUGCCAGCAGCCGCGGUAAUACGUAGGGGGCAAGCGUUAUCCGGAAUUAUUGGGCGUAAAGAGUGCGUAGGUGGUUUUGUAAGCGUAGGGUGAAAGGCAGUAGCUCAACUAUUGUUAGCCCUGCGAACUGUGAGACUUGAGUGCAGGAGAGGAAAGUGGAAUUCCUAGUGUAGCGGUGAAAUGCGUAGAUAUUAGGAGGAACACCAGUGGCGAAGGCGACUUUCUGGACUGUAACUGACACUGAGGCACGAAAGCGUGGGUAGCAAACAGGAUUAGAUACCCGAGUAGUCC
RNAcentral lists this ribosomal RNA (427 nucleotides) under uncultured bacterium. RNAcentral describes it as "partial 16S ribosomal RNA". It matches the Rfam family "Bacterial small subunit ribosomal RNA", at positions 354 to 796 of the family's 1533-position model. The record is from RNAcentral.